ACCGACGCACUGGAUCCGGUGGGCAGAACCUGGGUCAAAUCAGGAGUGGCCACCCCGGCUAGAGCCUCGGCACCACCCGACUCGGCCACUAGUCUUCUCCCUCUUGGGCACACGGGGAAACUGGAGUUCAGGGACACGCCCUUCAGCGGCCCUGGGUCCCAUGACAGCGAUUUGCCAGGGAAAGCGGAACUGACUCUGAGGAGUCUAGGUCCUGUGGGAGCACAGGAAUGGAGGCCCGGAGAGCCAAGAGGAUUGGGGAAGCUUAGCUCCGCAGGGCAAGGGUGAUUCCUUGGAAGGAACCUCCAAAGGAAGUCUGGCGGGGAAUCCGUGCAAUGAACUCGUGGCCAUUGGCUCCAAUGGCCUGACUGUCAGCCCCACGGGGGCGAGUUUGAAGAGCCCAAGGCACCAGGCGGCCUGUGGGAUACAAAAACCCAUUUCUCAAUGGUAUUCGGCGCUUCUGGUGGUUUGGUUGGUUCCUUUGGGGGUCACUGGACCGGUGAGCGACCCCCGCCCACUCCCGCCCCCCACCUCAAGGCCCCUUUGGGCUUCUAUUGAGAGGCAGGGUCUCAGUGAGCGGAUGAGAGCCUGGCUUUGCCAGAGGCUGGCCUUGAUCUCGCCAUGCUCCUGCUUCAGCCUGCUGAGCUGAUGGGAUCAUAGGCGGGAGCUGCUGGAUCUUUCCCUUGACAACUCAGUAGUU
This 697-nucleotide long non-coding RNA is filed under the name Marmota monax (woodchuck). The record is from RNAcentral. Lineage: Eukaryota; Metazoa; Chordata; Mammalia; Rodentia; Sciuridae.